CCUAGUUAAAAUCUCAACCCACUCGUUAUGUUGUGGCCCAAAUAGUAUUUUUGCCCCACCAAUUUCCAUUAUAAAUAUUUAGCCCAUUAAUUAUAGUGUAGACCAAUACCAAUUAUUUUUUGUCUGUUAACAUUUCAAGCACAUACAUUUUUCCAGAUUUCUGCUCAUAUCAUUAAAAUAAAAUAAUUACACAAACAUAAAUUACAGCCAAAAGUAAAAAGGAAACUGAAACCCACUAAAAAAUUACACAAACAGAAAUUACAGAAAAGUCAAGCACUUUGAAGUUUUUUUUUUGAGAAAGUGUAGUCGUAUUCAUAUGAAAGCAGAGUACAGCAUCACGGCGUCGAGCUUAUUAGGCUAGGAUCCACUAGAUCCACUACCAGCCAUCAUCCUCCACCACGGAAGGACACCUAGGAUGGGAUCUCGCGGCGUGUGGUGCUGGUGCCCCUGGAUUCACGCUCCUCAAACAAGCAUGGGAGGGGAUCACGAGCACGCCGCCGCUUCGGUGUCCAUCGCCAUCUAGCUCCCGUCUGCGCCGGCUUGGACGCGUAGACGCGGGGUCACAAGCCCGUCGCCGCCGGAGUACCAAUUACGUUGGUGACCUCGAGCACGCCCCUCGGCUAUUCCGUCGCGCCAGGCCCAUCCAAGUCCACGAGCCCGUCGUGGUUCUCUCCGUUCGGCACGCCAACGAGGGAGCCGAUCGUGCCCUGCAGCGACUCGGGCACAGGACACAGCAACGGCACCGGCGCCAGGUCGGCCUUCAGGGGCGUCGCCGCCAAUAUGGACGAGGCCGUCGUCGAGGCGGCAAGCGCCCUGCAGCUACACGGGUACCGGUCGCGGGUGAAGCAGAAGCCAUCCCGCUGGCGCUGUACACCGCGUCCGCCGUCGCACCGUUUGGCCUUCGGUGGCAGCGUCCGGCACAGCGCUGCUGCCCGGCGACCGGUCGAUGCAGACCCCUCGGCGGCCCAGCGCGGCAACCGCAACGGGUUCGAUGGCGGCCUGAGCGUGGUGGACUCGUUGGGGAUGGCGGCCUGAGCGUGGUGGAUUCGUUGGGGAUGGCGGCCUUCGGUGAGGUGACGGAGGAAGUGGAAGAUCUGGAAGAUGUGGAUUAGGGGACGGAGAAAGGAAGGCGCUGGGAGGAUCUGGAAGCGGGAUGCUCGGCGGAAUAAAGAGGCGAAUAAAUGCGAUGACUCCUCGUGGAUGGGGAAGAAACAUGAGGGAUGGGAAUUAGUCUGCCACCGUUGGAUGCGAGAGGAUCUGACGGCUGUGUCUGGCGAUCCGUGUGAAGGUAGAAGUAACCUAGGAUACAUGCAUGCUUCAGCUAGGAAUCUAAUGGACUUUUGUUGACCUCAGCCCAGGACCGAGCAAGGCAGCCCAGAUUUUGAACUAGUUUUUUUUUCUGUUUUGCAAAUAACUAAAUAAGGCACCCUUCUAAAAUAAUCUGCAAAAAACAUUUAUCACAUAUACCCCAGUACAGUUUUUACAUCUGACAUACUACAUAUAUUUAAAAAAAUUAUUUAGUUAUUUAUCCUAAAUAGGUUGAACACUAUUAUUUCCGGUCAUAGAAUACCCAAAGAACACUUUUCGGAAUAUUUUGAUAUAUUAAACAUAUUGUUUUGAGUGAACAUCGAUCAAUUAUGUUUUUUAUAAAUUUAAAAUAUAUUUUUAACACUAGUAAAUAUUUUGAAAUAUUACUAAUAUUUUGUAGCAAACAUUUGAAAAUUUAAUUCAUGGUUUGUAGUCAAAUGAUUAAACAUUUUAUACUAACUAUUGACCUAGCCAUAGUCAAUGAUGUGCGGCAGUGGGAAAGACUUGUUAGAAUUUUAGCAAUUAUUGUGUAAGUAACCAUCUCAAUCUUUUACCACGGACUAUAGGGAUCAUUUAUGACACCAUGUGAAGCUUCAUGUUUUCCACAAUUUGUUUGCAUUUUUUAAUUAAAGGACCAACAAUCUACAUGUUCAGAGUUCAGUCUUGGCACCCUGAUGUUUCGAAUAUCUUUCCUUUUCUUGGAUAAGACUCAAACAAAGACUCAUUAAUAUAAAUGUGAUUUUGAAAACCAAUUUUUCAACUUUUAUGUGCACUUGGAGUUCCAAAUUGAAUUCUAUUUGUUUAGUGCUUAGAAAUGCACUAAAUGAGUUAUGUAAAUCAAAUGGGCCCGAAAAAUGUCACAUUUUUACAUGGACCAUGCAAUGUUAUAUAUUUAGCGUAGAAAAAGAAAUCCAAGGCUAACAGAUGAAGCAAUGGGCGUUUCGCCUUCAAACUUGACUAGUUUCCUCUCAAAGCCUAUAUUCUUCUUUGGAGAUGGCCCGGUUUGUAUGCAGCAUACGUCACAACUAUUCUGAAACCUUCUCAUGUUUUUACCAUAGUCUCUAAGUUUCAUAUGAGGGUACCAAGCCAAGCUUCAUGUUUCUCAGACUUAGUUUGCAUUUUUAGAAGAAAAAAAAUCAACAAAGUCCAUGUUCGGGGUCGAGUCUAGGCAACCUCAUGUUUUGAGCUCCAAUUUUACCGACUUUUUCAUGACUUGCGGUUCAAAAUUGGGUUGUAUUUAUUAAAUGCUUAGAAAUGCAUGAAAAGACUUAAAUAUAGCAAACGGACCCCCAAAAAUGCAAAUUUUGGUAUGGAUCAUGUAAUUAUGUCAAGUGCAUGUUUUUUAGACUUCCUUUGCAUUUUUUGGAAUUAAAAAACCGAUAAAGUCCAUGUUCGUGGUUGAGUCCUGUCACCUCGUGUUUGGAAUUCCUCACCUUUUCUUCGAUAAGGCCUAAACAUAGGCGCAAGGACACAGAUGAUUUUUAAACCAAUUUCCCAAUUUUUUCAUGCACUUGCAAUUCGAAAUUAAAUUAUAUUCAUUAAAUUCCCCAACUUUUGUAAAGCAUUCUUGAUUUUUUACGACAACCUCUACGUGUCAUAUGAGGGUAUCAUGCCAAGUUUCAUGUGUUUACCCGCUUCGAUUGCUUUUUUUUGAAUUAAAAAAAUCUAUAACCUCCAUGUUUGAGGUCUAUUCUUGACAUCCUCAUAUUUGAUUACUCUGACACCUUUUUUAAUAUACAAGUACAUAAUGUAUAUUUUUUAACACAUGAUUAACAUUUUUUAAUAUACUAUGAAAUUUUGAAAAAUAUAUUUACAAUUUUGAACAUGUAAAAAAUACAUUUAGAAUUUUGAAUAUAUUGAAAAUUUUAGAAAAUAAACACUGAAUGUUGUCAAUUUUGAAUGCGUUUACAAAUUUUCGAAUGCAUGACGAACAUUUAAAUGUUCAAUGUAUAUAAUAAAAUUGUUCAUCGUAUAUUACACAAGAAUGUUCAGUGUGUAUUUAUACAAUAAUAUUCAGUGUGUAUUUACAGAAAAAAAUCGCAUACUAAAAGUUUAGUGUAAAUUAAAAAAAUGUCAAUUGUAUUGGAAAAACAUACACCAUUUAUAACCUAUAUAAAAAAAGAAAUGUACAAAAAUUAAAAAACCCGCAGAAUACCCAAGAUCUAAAAAAUAAAAGAAAUCUGAAACAAAAGAAACGCAUAAAAAAUUGGGAAAUGAGCCAGGACGUCUCUGAACAAGUAUAAAAGAACAAAUUCCUAUACUAUGACGUGACCAACAUUGUGACAGAGUACUUAGCGCGUGCGAGGUAGAGUUAAUUACAUGAAAGUAUUAUAAUUGAGGCAUUACAUGUAGAUUGGCAUCAACUUUCAUAAUUAAUACGAAGUCUUGGGUGCGCCGCAAAAACAACACCGGCCACCUGUUGGUUUCCAGUAAGGGACAUGUUUAUGGUCUUUCACACUAAAUAUUAUCUGUAUGAAUUCACACUGAACAUUACUAUAUAAUAUAUGAUGAACAAUUUUGUUAUGUACAUAUUUUUUAAUAUACAAUGUUCUAUUUAAUUAUACAAUGAACUUUUUUAAAUAUACGAUGAAUUUUUAAUAUAUAUUAACUUUUUAUGGUAUGCGAUAUUUUUUCAAAAUACACACUGAAUAUUAUUGUAUAAAUACACACUGUACAAUAUACAAAAAACAUUUUUGUUAUACCAAAAAAGGCUUUUUGCAGGUGAUAGAAAAAGGAUUUCACUCUGUUUUACAUAUAAAGCAUUAAUCACCAACCAACAUGGAACAAUUUUGUUAUAUACAUUGAACAUUUUUUUUUUGGGAGCAAACCAUCCAUCCAACGCGUCGCUCCUCUCCCUCAAAAAAAAGCUCGCUCGGAUCGCCUCGUAGCCAGCCGCCGCCUCCCCAAAACUAGGGUUCUUUGCCUCCCACCGGCGUCGGUGCCGGUCCGUCCCGUCUCCGGUGGCCUUAGGGCCAUGGAGGCGGAGUGGAUCUCGGCCCAUGCCGGUGGGAGGGUUCCGUUUUCAUAUUUUUUUUCGAGCUUUGUUAGGGUUUAUGUCCUGUUCAGGAAGGCGAGACGGCGGCGGCUCCCUGAAGAUGGAAUAAAGGUCUCCCCGUUUAGUCCCCGUUCCGGUGAUGUGUGUAGCAUCAUCGGUGGGCGUGUGGAGGUGUGUCUCCGGCGGAUCUGUCCUCGGUGGAUUUGCUCGGAUCUGUUCGUCAUUCGUCUUCGUUCGUGUGUCUUCAGGUUGGAUCCUUUUGAUCUACACUCUUCAUCUGCGGCGGUUGUUGUUCUGGUGCGUUGGUUCCAUGGGGCCUUAGCACGACGACUUCCCGACUGUCUACUACAACAAUGUUUGCCCGGUUCUGUCGAGGGAGGGGCGAUGACAGCGGCGCGCCUUCGGCUUGCUUCAGUGCUUGUAGUCGUCGCUAGGUGGUCUACGGUUCUGAAUGUAAAUUUUAUUAUUUCUAGUGUCCGUUGUACUACCAUGAUUGAAGAUGAAUAGAUUAAAUGUUUUUCCGCAAAAAAAUAAAAAUAAAAUACAUUGAACAUUUUUUUCCUGCAGGAUCGAUUCCUGGAAACUUGUGAUGGAAAAAAAUAUCUCUCACAGGGGCCAUUUUGCCCAGCGUGUCUAGAAUAGUAGUACAAAAGGACGUACGUCUACUUUUUGACAAGGUGAUCGCUUUGACGUUGUGGUCAGCUCGUGAAAACUACCAACAGUAGGUCGCAGGUUCGACGUACAUAGAGCACUGGCUCAAGUUAAGGAACCGUGAGUGAGUUUUUCCAUAUUAAAGCGUGAGGUUCCUAGUUCGAUGCCAGUGCGGGACAACACAGAAAACAGCAGUCCUCCGACCCUAAAAAGAGCGACGUCAGAACACACAACAGUAACAUUCCGUUAUCGUAAAAAAGCCCCUGAAGGCCUGUCACGUUUUUCUGUAGAAAAAAACAGACUUAGAGCAGCCCAACGUCGGGCCAACACAGCAGCAACAUCCCUAUUUUUGUCCCAAAAAGGCAACAUCGAAACACGCAACAACAACAUUAUUGUUAAAAAAGCACUAGAAGGACGUCUGUGAUGGUUCGAACAACAUAAAGAAACUAAGGCUGACAUAUGUGAGUCGAACACGUGUUACACAUCAACAUGAGCCAUCCAUGACGGUCUGUUUGGUGUACAGCUGGUCGAUUCGUGACGGUAUCCGUGACGGUCCAUCCCAAGGGGGCCAUUGCCAUGGGGUUUGUUCUCAUCUAAUUAAUCUGUGACGGAUUUCAUGACGAAGCGGACAAUUCCGUCAUCGAUCAUGACGGUUUCGGGGAACGUCAUCAGAAAUCCGUCAUGGAUUAACACAUUUCUUGUGGUGAAUAUUAAGAAGUAUGGAUUCCGCUUUCACAUCAAGUAGGGACAUUUUCCAUGUCUAACCACGAACCUCAAUGUCAUGUCACGGUCUCCUGCUGUCACAAGCAAAAAGUCCUUGCCAGUAAGCAAUACACUUAACAUAAGGAUUUGUAGUUAAGUCAGAUAAUAUUUCUGUGAACAUUCAUUUUGGCUACAAAUGUUCUCAAUAAUUUGAGUUGUACUACCGGUGACAAAGGUCCUUACCAAUCGGUCAGUAUGUGUAAGAGAUCCGCAAUAUUUAUUCGGCAGUUAGCCUUAUUGUAAACUUUUAAAGAUGAUGCAAUGGGCAUUUUUUGUUUCCUUUCAAUUUAUUCAUUGAAGAUAGACAUGCUAAUGUGAGACGUGGUGUUUCUGCUCCCGGCGGCAUGGAUGAACAGUAAAGUGUAGAAAAAAAUAGAACACAAAUACCGAUUUUUUUGUGACACACAUUGUUGAAUGUCAGGUGCGUGCAAAAUUUUGUGACGAAAAAACAUUUCUAGUGCUCUGCGAAAAAAAACCAAUGCUCUAAAAAUGGUAUUUUUUAAAGCAUUUCAAUGAAAAAGGGUUUCCCCUGCUUUAUGUAUAAAGCAACCAUCACCACAACAUUCGAGCAAGAAGAUACAAACGCACUCCACCACCACACUCAAGCACACACCCAAGGCGAGAUACAAAGGUGUCGGGCACUGAAAACACCACCCCAACGACGACCAAGCACCCUAAUGAUAAGCAAAGAAGAACCGCUUGGGUUGAUGGAGACCACGACCAAGAUGAGCAAUCCACCGAGGAGCAGUGAGAUGGACACGGCCGGAGCGAGGACUCCAAGACGAUGCCUUCAAGAAGGAUACGACCACAGGUAGCCGUCACCGUCUGAUCCCGAAGAUCAAGUUUUCACCCGGAGUGACACAAAACAAGUGGAAGCACCACGACGGAGCCUGCAAGGAGGAGAAUGACAUCCACGGAUGCCGCCUCCAUCGGCCAGUACCGGGACUAAGAAAGUAGUGAACCCGGUGCUCCUACCCCUCCGCCGCAAUCCCGCUCCGCCAACCACCCGCAUCCAUGCCGCCUAAGCGCCCACGGCUUCCGGCCCGCACCAAAGCCGCGUGGUCAGCCCAUGACCAACACACCUACCACCGCUAGAGCUGCCGCCCUACAUCUAGACCGCCCUGAGAACCACCAAAGGCCGUGACUUUGAACAGACCCGCACCCCAACCGCCUCCAGGACCACCGGCAAACCACCCUCCUCGAGCAACGCCGGAACCAAGAGUAGAGAAGCGUGGAUGGGGAAGGGGGAGGGGAGGAGCGGCCCACAGCCACGACCGGCGACAAGCCCCUGUGCCGGCGACGGGUAGCUCGACAUCGGAGCCCUCGUCCCCCAACCAGCCUCACCCCUGAAACCACAUGUUUUGCCCGACCCGCGCGAGACCACUGGUAGCAGUCCGUCACCGGAGAGGAGGGAGCAGAGCCCUCGCCGCUACUGCCAUGGAUGGCCACCAGGGGGCCGGGGUCUCCUGUGCCGUGCGUCGCGGACCGGCCAUAAGGGCCUGACCAGGCANNNNNNNNNNNNNNNNNNNNNNNNNNNNNNNNNNNNNNNNNNNNNNNNNNNNNNNNNNNNNNNNNNNNNNNNNNNNNNNNNNNNNNNNNNNNNNNNNNNNNNNNNNNNNNNNNNNNNNNNNNNNNNNNNNNNNNNNNNNNNNNNNNNNNNNNNNNNNNNNNNNNNNNNNNNNNNNNNNNNNNNNNNNNNNNNNNNNNNNNNNNNNNNNNNNNNNNNNNNNNNNNNNNNNNNNNNNNNNNNNNNNNNNNNNNNNNNNNNNNNNNNNNNNNNNNNNNNNNNNCAUGAAGCGGAUCUGGUCGCGCCGCCGCGAAGCAGCAACCGCGCCCCACCGGCCUCCAGUCCGCACCACCUCCGCGCCGCCCGUCGCAUCGCCCAGACUUCCAUCAAUGUCAUGUAACUUGGCACGAGGGUGAAACAUUCAACAAUGUUUGACAACAAAGCCUUUAGUUUCAAACAAGUUGGGGUAGGCUAGAGGUGAAAUCUAUAAGUUCUCAAAACUAACUUAUGGUUCUGGCACGAUGUUUAUUGCCAAAAAAUUCAUAUUGCAUGAAAGAAUUGCGAAACAGGUUCUGUUGCAGUUUUUCAAUGGUUAAAUUCCACCACAUGUUCUUCAAAAGUGUAGAAAGUCCUGACACAUAAUUUGGUACAUAUAGGAUAGGAGCGCCUCCUAUUAUUUCGUUUCACCUGAAAACCAACCUUCUUGCUUUUGCUUCCCAAUUUACCGGUCAUUUUCCCGGUGGCCGCAGCAGUCAAGUUAGCUCUCAGCUCUGUACCAGGCAUCCCCAUUUACCAUAUACCAAGCAUGUUCAUCAGUUCUGUACCCCUCCCACCUAGUGCUCCCCUGCUCUGCUUUACUAUGCCAACUUCUUUUUCCAAUUCAGUAAUCUGGAGAAAGGGAUUUCCUUUUAGAAGAUUGGUUUGUACAGUCCAAAAACUGAAUAGGCAUGUUUAUGAGCGUUAAUAUGCAUUUGCCAUUCACAAUCAUGCCAUAAUAUCCUCUGUUGCAUUAUGAAAAAUGGCUAAAAAAUUCUACUUUCAUGAAAUUGUUUAACAUUCGCAAUAUAUGGGCUGCACCGAAGUACUGCACGAUACUACAGCAAGUUGAAACUUCCUCCAGCGCUUUAUUUGGGAGUAGGCAAGUAGCUAUUAUGUUUGGCUUCUCUAGAUCCACACGCAAGUGCAGUAUGAUAUUAGCAAGUGGAAACCACCCCCAACGUACACUUUGUUUGGUAGCUAUUGUGUCUUUCUCUUCCACUGACUACUACGUACUGUAUAUGAUAUUGGCAAGUUGAAACCCAUUACAUAGGGUUGCCAGGAAAGAGAGAAUAGCAUGCGGGCUGAGCAGAUGCAAAAGCACCGAGUUGUGUACUCACGGACCACGGAAAACCCGCGUCGCCAUAUGCUGAACCCGCGUAUGCGUAUGGCGUAUGCGUCUGACAUGUGAAAGCAAUGCAAUUGACCCAACUCUUGCUUAAGUUUGUCACCACUUGCUUUCCUUCUCCUUCCACCAACCACAGCACCCCAUAGGAGCUUUGGCGACAGAGCUCCACGGGGAGAUAUCUCUGCCCUUUCACCAAUUUAGGUCUGCUCCAUUUUGGGUGUUGCUAAGGUACAUGCUCCCCUCAAAUCUUGGGUGUGAUUUAUACCUCUCCGGUUGUUCCUCGUCUAUCAGUGCUUAAUCCCUUUCCCUUCUUCACAUGCUGCAGUUCUUCUUCCUCUGAUCCCCAAGAUCAUGGCAGAAUCACUGCUUUUCCCUUUGGUGCGUGGCGUGGCCAGCAAGGCCACAAACGCCCUCGUCCAGACCGUGACCCGCAUGUGUGGCCUCGAUGACGACCGCCAAACGCUGGAGCACCAUCUGCUAGCCGUGGAGUGUAAGCUGGUCAACGCGGAGGAAAUGAGCCAAACAAAUGGCUACGUCAAGAGCUGGAUGGAGAAGCUCAAGGCCGUCGCCUACGAGGCCGACGACGUCCUCGACGAAUUUGAGUACGAGGCGCUGCGCCGCAAAUCCCAGAUCGGCAACUCCACUUCCUGCAAGGUACUUGGCUAUGUCACGUGCUGCAGCCUGCUGCUCUUCCGUUUUGCCAUGAGCAAGAAGCUCGAGGCAGUCCUCGGUAAGAUCAAGGAGCUGGUUGAGGAGAUGAACACGUUUGGCCUUGAGAAUUCUGGGAGUCGGGAGUACCAGCAACAUCCUUGGCGGCAGACGCACUCCAAACUGGAUGAAUCUACAAAAAUAUUUGGAAGAGGUGAUGACAAGGAGGGAGUGGUGAAGUUGCUGCUAGACCAGCAAGAUCAGAGGAUGGUGCAGGUGCUGCCCAUCUUUGGCAUGGGAGGUCUUGGCAAGACAACACUUGCUAAGAUGGUGUACAAUGACCAAGAGGUCAAGCAACAUUUCGAGUUGAAGAUGUGGCACUGCGUGUCAGAGAAUUUUGAUGUUAUUGCUAUUGUGAAAUCCAUCAUUGAAUUAGCUACAAAUGAAAGAUGUGACCUGCCCGACAAUAUUGAACUAUUGCAGAAGAAACUUGAUGAAGUCACUGGCCAAAAGAGAUUUUUACUUGUUCUCGAUGAUGUAUGGAAUGAAGAAAAGAGGAUGUGGGAUGAUGAAUUGAAGCCAAUACUUUGUUCUGUUGGCUUACCAGGAAGUGUUAUAGUGGUCACAUGCCGAAGCAAGCAAGUGGCAUCUAUAAUGGCCACCAUUAAGCCCCAUGAGCUAGCAUUUCUGAGUGAAGAAGAUUCGUGGGAACUGUUUUCGAACAAAGCAUUUAGUGAUGGUGUAGAGGAGCAACUAGAGUUACACACCAUUGGAAGACGUAUUGUCAAUAAAUGCGAGGGGUUGCCUCUUGCUCUGAAGACAAUGGGUGGAUUGUUGAGCUCAAAGAAACAAGUAGAUGAAUGGAAAGCCAUAGAAGAAAGUAACAUUGGUGCUAAUGUUGGAGGUAAAUAUGAGGUCAUGCCUAUACUAAAGUUAAGCUACAAACACCUGUCAUAUGAA
This 10215-nucleotide long non-coding RNA is filed under the name Triticum aestivum (bread wheat). RNAcentral's name for it is "long non-coding RNA (TAES_LNC015669)". The record is from RNAcentral. Lineage: Eukaryota; Viridiplantae; Streptophyta; Magnoliopsida; Poales; Poaceae.